CACGUAGGGGGCGAGCGUUGUCCGGAUUUAUUGGGCGUAAAGAGCUCGUAGGCGGUUCGGCAAGUCGGGUGUGAAAUUUCGAGGCUCAACCUCGAAACGCCACUCGAUACUGCUGUGACUGGAGUCCGGUAGAGGAGAAUGGAAUUCCUGGUGUAGCGGUGAAAUGCGCAGAUAUCAGGAAGAACACCCGUGGCGAAGGCGGUUCUCUGGGACGGUACUGACGCUGAGACGCGAAAGCGUGGGGAGCGAACAGG
This 254-nucleotide ribosomal RNA is filed under the name uncultured bacterium. RNAcentral describes it as "partial 16S ribosomal RNA". It matches the Rfam family "Bacterial small subunit ribosomal RNA", at positions 524 to 776 of the family's 1533-position model. The record is from RNAcentral.